UUGACCUCGGAUCAGGUAGGAAUACCCGCUGAACUUAAGCAUAUCAAUAAGCGGAGGAAAAGAAACCAACAGGGAUUGCCUCAGUAACGGCGAGUGAAGCGGCAACAGCUCAAAUUUGAAAUCUGGCCCCAGGCCCGAGUUGUAAUUUGCAGAGGAUGCUUUUGGUGAGGUGCCUUCCGAGUUCCCUGGAACGGGACGCCAUAGAGGGUGAGAGCCCCGUCUGGUCGGACACCGAGCCUCUGUAAAGCUCCUUCGACGAGUCGAGUAGUUUGGGAAUGCUGCUCUAAAUGGGAAGUAUAUGUCUUCUAAAG
Molecule: ribosomal RNA, 311 nt
Filed under: Myrothecium sp. FF16
Lineage: Eukaryota; Fungi; Ascomycota; Sordariomycetes; Hypocreales; Stachybotryaceae
Description: eukaryotic LSU rRNA
Rfam family: Eukaryotic large subunit ribosomal RNA
Source: RNAcentral